UGUAACAUCUGGUGUCUUUCAAACGUAAAAUUUGGUGUCUUGCCCAUUCCACCUCAGGUGCUCACAGGACAGCCACCAGCACCAGACACCUGUCCCCAGAGCAGUGGGACGGCGCAGGUGCUAUGGAGGGCCCACCAAAGUCUUGGGAGCCGAAGGACUGAAGUAGAUGACGGCAUGAAAGGAACUCAACUGCUACUUCUGACAACACCAUCCCACUUGGCUGUGGAUAACCCACACAUCGGCAGAGCACGUAGCCAGUUCUGGCAAUGAAAGUACCUCUCACCCC
RNAcentral lists this long non-coding RNA (286 nucleotides) under Fukomys damarensis (Damara mole-rat). RNAcentral describes it as "lncRNA (ENSFDAG00000032458.1)". Lineage: Eukaryota; Metazoa; Chordata; Mammalia; Rodentia; Bathyergidae. The record is from RNAcentral.